Molecule: ribosomal RNA, 516 nt
Filed under: uncultured bacterium
Lineage: Bacteria
Description: bacterial SSU rRNA
Rfam family: Bacterial small subunit ribosomal RNA
Source: RNAcentral
AAUAAACGCUGGCGGCGUGCCUAACACAUGCAAGUCGGACGAGAAAGGCUGAUUUUCGGAUUAGCCGAGUAAAGUGGCGCACGGGUGAGUAACGCGUAGGUAACCUACCCUUGUAUUUGGGAUAACAGGACGAAAGUUUUGCUAAUACCGGAUACGACCUGAGGGCGGAGGUUUUCAGGUGAAAGUCGGCCUCUUCGAGAAAGCUGACGUACAGGGAUGGGUCUGCGUCCUAUCAGCUAGUUGGUGGGGUAACGGCCUACCAAGGCGACGACGGGUAGCUGGUCUGAGAGGAUGAUCAGCCACACUGGCACUGGAACACGGGCCAGACUCCUACGGGAGGCAGCAGUGAGGAAUUUUGCGCAAUGGCCGCAAGGCUGACGCAGCAACGCCGCGUGAGCGAAGAAGGCCUUCGGGUUGUAAAGCUCUGUCUGGAGGGACGGAACGAAAAUAGACGGUACCUCCGGACGGAAGGCCACGGCUAACUACGUGCCAGCAGCCGCGGUAAACGUAGACGUG